AAGACAGAAACGAAUGACUGUCAUGCUAUCUUUGAACUUAAUUUAUUACCUUGAUUGAUUCUCUUGACAACAUAAUGCAAGAAAUGUAUUCUCUAGCAGGUAUGCUACAAUCAAGACACAAAGAAUCAUGAUUUAAUUCCUUGAAUCCACUUCGGAUUCUGAGCCAAACACACAAAUUCAAUUAGCAUCUUUUCUAGACUAUAAUACAGCCUUUCCAUUGUUGUUCAAGAUCCAGCCUUUAAACUUUGAUUCUCACUCCACAGAUCAAGUGAAGAGGGAUUGGUGGCCAGCUCCUAAGCUGAUUUUAAAUUCAGAUUUAUAGGUCAAUUUUCAAGGAUUUGAUUUUCAUUAAAAUAUUGGUGAUUGUUUCCAUUCAUAAAAGGAAUGAACAGAGAUACCAAAUGGGAGAGGGAGAUCGAUAAAAAAAAGAAAAAGAAAAAGAAAAGAAAAGGGGGAAGACACAAGGGAAACAGUAUAUACAGGCUGACCCAAACCAGUCCCCAUAAUCGUGAACCAGGCCGACCCACAUCGUCCUCCAACUCUCACGCUGUUGUCUCCUCUUCCAUUCGCUAACCACCAAGAGAAACAACCUCGAUCCAGCCACAUAGCAGUAGUGAGAAUUUCGAACCUAACCGCCACUCCAAGCGACCAGGUGACGGUGAGAUUCACCGAUAGCAUAAAAAGAAAGAGGAAGAAAAGCCGUUUCAGAUCCACCAAUUUUCCCUUUUCACUGGCAGCGAUGCGUGGAUCCACGCGCCGGCAGUAGCUGGUAGCGUGUAGAGCCCACACGCCGCCACUAUUCUCGAACCUCAGUGUAUCCCAGCAACUUCUCCAACCAUGAGUACCCUGUCCCAAAGGUGUUCUGCAAAUUUGAAAUGUGUUUUCGACAUUUGCAUAAAAACUUUGUAUUUCAUUUCCAUGCAAAUUGUUUUUGCUUGAUAAUAAGUUUAUCAAGAACAUUAAAAGAUUUGGCCUAAAUAAAUUGACCCAUUAAG
Populus trichocarpa (black cottonwood) is the source of this 995-nucleotide long non-coding RNA. RefSeq lists it as uncharacterized. The transcript is spliced from 2 exons. The record is from RefSeq and is a predicted model, not a curated record. Lineage: Eukaryota; Viridiplantae; Streptophyta; Magnoliopsida; Malpighiales; Salicaceae.